This 344-nucleotide unclassified non-coding RNA is filed under the name soil metagenome. RNAcentral describes it as "partial contains 5.8S ribosomal RNA, internal transcribed spacer 2, and large subunit ribosomal RNA". The stretch from base 1 to 120 matches the Rfam family "5.8S ribosomal RNA", at positions 35 to 154 of the family's 154-position model. The record is from RNAcentral.
GAUGAAGAACGCAGCGAAAUGCGAUAAGUAAUGUGAAUUGCAGAAUUCAGUGAAUCAUCGAAUCUUUGAACGCACAUUGCGCCCGCCAGUAUUCUGGCGGGCAUCCCUGUUCGAGCGUCAUUUCAACCCUCAAGCCCCCGGGCUUGGUGUUGGGGAUCGGCGUGCCCUCGCGGCGCGCCGUCCCCUAAAUCUAGUGGCGGUCUCGCUGUAGCUUCCUCUGCGUAGUAGCAACACUCGCACUGGAUCGCAGCGCGGCCACGCCGUUAAACCCCCCACUUCUGAAAGUUUGACCUCGGAUCAGGUAGGAAUACCCGCUGAACUUAAGCAUAUCAAUAAGCGGAGGA